AUACGGAGGGUGCAAGCGUUGUUCGGAAUUAUUGGGCGUAAAGCGCGCGCAGGCGGCUUGCCAAGUCUGAUGUGAAAGCCCGGGGCUCAACCUCGGAACUGCAUUGGAAACUGGUAGGCUUGAGUAUGAGAGGGGUUUGUGGAAUUCCUGGUGUAGGGGUGAAAUCCGUAGAUAUCAGGAGGAACACCGGUGGCGAAGGCGACAAACUGGAUCACUACUGACGCUGAGGUGCGAAAGCGUGGGGAGCAAACAGGAUUAGAAACCCCUGUAGUCC
RNAcentral lists this ribosomal RNA (274 nucleotides) under uncultured bacterium. Its description in RNAcentral is "partial 16S ribosomal RNA". It matches the Rfam family "Bacterial small subunit ribosomal RNA", at positions 523 to 796 of the family's 1533-position model. The record is from RNAcentral.